AAGUCGUAACAAGGUCUCCGUUGGUGAACCAGCGGAGGGAUCAUUACAGAGUUGCAAAACUCCCCAAACCAUUGUGAACCUUACCUUCAACCGUUGCUUCGGCGGGCGGGCCACAGCGCCCCCCGGGCCCCCCCAGCGGGGCGCCCGCCGGAGGAUACCCAAACUCUUGAUACUUUAUGGCCUCUCUGAGUCUUCUGUACUGAAUAAGUCAAAACUUUCAACAACGGAUCUCUUGGUUCUG
RNAcentral lists this unclassified non-coding RNA (241 nucleotides) under fungal sp. Its description in RNAcentral is "partial contains small subunit ribosomal RNA, internal transcribed spacer 1, and 5.8S ribosomal RNA". The stretch from base 1 to 46 matches the Rfam family "Eukaryotic small subunit ribosomal RNA", at positions 1786 to 1831 of the family's 1831-position model. RNAcentral also lists the same sequence under 1 other name. Lineage: Eukaryota; Fungi. The record is from RNAcentral.